CAAACACAUUCAAACCAUGAGUACAAUAUUAUGCCUGAGCACUAUAAUCACAUUAAACGAAGGCUGCAACGUCUCCACGUAAUUUUAAGAAUGCACCUUAAUCAAACCUAUCUUAGUUAUUGGUGGAAAUAAUUGUUAAUGUUUGUUUUAAUACCAGUUUUGUUGUAUUGCAUUUUAAAUGUUUGCCCUCUUGAAGAUGGGGAACAUAGGAAGAAAAAGAAUCCGAUGUGAAAAUCUGCUGCUCCAUGCUGUCUUCUGAGAGACCACCUAUUAGACAGCGUGGACUGUGUACUGCGCAUGCGCAGCGCAAGUUUCUUGGCGGGUUUUUCAAACAUGGAUUGCCAUUAUCUUAAGAGUAUCUUAAGAAACAAAGCGAGAAGAAUGGAGUUAGUGUACAAAUAAUGUGAAGGUGCACGUCUAAGGUAGAGCAAAAUGUGGUGGCUGUUGACCAACACAAAGCCACGGUUUUGAACAGAAAGAGCCACUCAUUGAUGAGAAAUACAGUUGUUUGUGACAAUGAGUACCACAGGAAUAAGAGUGUUUUGUGGAAGGCUCAACGCGAGCCGCAACAGCCAUUGGACCCUGCGGCAACUAGUGAUGGAGUGCUCGCUGGUGCACCUUGCAGAAGAUGUCGGUGACCUGGCCAGGAGUUGUUCUCCACCACCUCCCUCAUUCUUGCUCCUCUUCCCAAUGUCGCUCCGACAGUGGCUGAAUCAGGAAGUGUAGCGAGGCCUGGCAACACUUUUACAUCAAUGAAGCGGACGGAAAGCCCUCGCCAUCCACCCACUGAAAUAACACAGGUCAUUCAGGAAACAGGACCUCCUACUGCAAAUUGUUUACGUAUGUGCGAGUGUGCAAGGCGCCUAUUACGCAAGCCUGGGAGUGCCUGCACUCAAAAUGGAUUCCUGAAUAUUGGUACCCUACUAUUCCAAGACAUGAGACUUUACAAAUAUCAAAAUCUCAGCAAAACACCUGAUAGAGGUAUAUAAAAUUUGAGGGGCCUAGAGAGGGUAGACAGCCAGAACCUUCUCUAUCCUCCCCCACCCCCCGGGUGUUAAUAUCAAAGAACAGAAGGCAGAGUUGCAAGAUGAGAGCGGCUAGGAUUAAAGGAGAUGGGUAUUAGAGCAAGUUUUCUUUUACAUGGUGGGUGCUUGAAAAGUGCUGCCAGGGGUGGUGGCAGCAAGUACAAUAGUG
Long non-coding RNA from Leucoraja erinaceus (little skate), 1194 nucleotides. RefSeq lists it as uncharacterized. The transcript has 3 exons. Lineage: Eukaryota; Metazoa; Chordata; Chondrichthyes; Rajiformes; Rajidae. The record is from RefSeq and is a predicted model, not a curated record.